RNAcentral lists this transfer RNA (76 nucleotides) under Actinobacillus porcinus. RNAcentral's name for it is "tRNA-Met(cat)". It matches the Rfam family "tRNA". From Rfam's summary of the family: Transfer RNA (tRNA) molecules are approximately 80 nucleotides in length. The record is from RNAcentral. Lineage: Bacteria; Pseudomonadati; Pseudomonadota; Gammaproteobacteria; Pasteurellales; Pasteurellaceae.
GCCCCCAUAGCUCAGCGGUCAGAGCAGGCGACUCAUAAUCGCUUGGUCACUGGUUCAAUCCCAGUUGGGGGCACCA